UGGGGAAUUUUGGACAAUGGGCGAAAGCCUGAUCCAGCAAUGCCGCGUGUGUGAAGAAGGCCUUCGGGUUGUAAAGCACUUUUGUCCGGAAAGAAAUCCUUGGCUCUAAUACAGUCGGGGGAUGACGGUACCGGAAGAAUAAGCACCGGCUAACUACGUGCCAGCAGCCGCGGUAAUACGUAGGGUGCAAGCGUUAAUCGGAAUUACUGGGCGUAAAGCGUGCGCAGGCGGUUUGCUAAGACCGAUGUGAAAUCCCCGGGCUCAACCUGGGAACUGCAUUGGUGACUGGCAGGCUAGAGUAUGGCAGAGGGGGGUAGAAUUCCACGUGUAGCAGUGAAAUGCGUAGAGAUGUGGAGGAAUACCGAUGGCGAGGCAGCCCCCUGGGCCAAUACUGACGCUCAUGCACGAAAGCGUGGGGAGCAAACAGGAUUAGAUACCCUGGUAGUCCACGCCCUAAACGAUGUCAACUAGUUGUUGGGGAUUCAUUUCCUUAGUAACGUAGCUAACGCGUGAAGUUGACCGCCUGGGGAGUACGGUCGCAAGAUUAAAACUCAAAGGAAUUGAC
RNAcentral lists this ribosomal RNA (565 nucleotides) under uncultured bacterium. Its description in RNAcentral is "partial 16S ribosomal RNA". It matches the Rfam family "Bacterial small subunit ribosomal RNA", at positions 355 to 914 of the family's 1533-position model. The record is from RNAcentral.